AGUCACUGACAUUAGAUACCCCGGUAGUCCCAGCCGUAAACAAUGUGCGUUAGGUGUGUCGGUAACCACGUGUUACUGAUGCGCCGAAGAGAAAUCGUGAAACGCACCACCUGGGAAGUACGGUCGCAAGGCUGAAACUUAAAGGAAUUGGCGGGAGCACCACAACAGGUGGAGCCUGCGGUUUAAUUGGAUUCAACGCCGGACAUCUCACCGGAUAAGACAGCUGAAUGAUUGUCAAUCUGAAGGUUUUACAUGACUAGCUG
Molecule: ribosomal RNA, 263 nt
Filed under: uncultured archaeon
Lineage: Archaea
Description: partial 16S ribosomal RNA
Rfam family: Archaeal small subunit ribosomal RNA
Source: RNAcentral